This 550-nucleotide ribosomal RNA is filed under the name uncultured Glomus. RNAcentral describes it as "SSU rRNA". It matches the Rfam family "Eukaryotic small subunit ribosomal RNA", at positions 549 to 1098 of the family's 1831-position model. The record is from RNAcentral. Lineage: Eukaryota; Fungi; Glomeromycota; Glomeromycetes; Glomerales; Glomeraceae.
UGGAGGGCAAGUCUGGUGCCAGCAGCCGCGGUAAUUCCAGCUCCAAUAGCGUAUAUUAAAGUUGUUGCAGUUAAAAAGCUCGUAGUUGAAUUUCGGGGUUCAUACGUUGGUCGGGCUUUUUGGUCUGUACUUAUGUAAUGGAUUCCUACCUUCUGAAUAACCGGCAUGUCAUUAAUUUGGUGCGCCGGGGAAGCAGGACUGUUACCUUGAAAAAAUUAGAGUGCUUAAAGCAGGCUAUCGCCUGAAUACAUUAGCAUGGAAUAAUGAAAUAGGACGGCAUGGUUCUAUUUUGUUGGUUUCUAGGAUCACCGUAAUGAUUAAUAGGGAUAGUUGGGGGCAUUAGUAUUCAAUUGUCAGAGGUGAAAUUCUUGGAUUUAUUGAAGACUAACUUCUGCGAAAGCAUUUGCCAAGGAUGUUUUCAUUAAUCAAGAACGAAAGUUAGGGGAUCGAAGACGAUCAGAUACCGUCGUAGUCUUAACCAUAAACUAUGCCGACUAGGGAUCGGACGAUGUUAAUUUUUUAAUGACUCGUUCGGCGCCUUACGGGAAAC